AAGUAUAUGCAUAUUUUAUAUGUAGAAACUGCGAACGGCUCAUUAAAACAGUUAUAAUCUACUUGACAUUUUUUCUAUAAGGAUAACUACGGAAAAGCUGUAGCUAAUACUUGCUUUAGCACUCUUGAUUAAGUUCUUGAGUGUGUACUUGUUAAGCCUUUUAAGAAAAAAGUUAUUAACUUAAGGAAUUAUAACAAAGAAGCAACACGUAAAUGGAUUUUCCAUUUUUUAGUGUGUAUCAAUCGAGUUUCUGACCUAUCAGCUUUUGAUGUUAGGGUAUUGGCCUAACAUGGCUAUGACGGGUAACGGGGAAUUAGAGUUCGAUUCCGGAGAGGGAGCCUGAGAAAUAGCUACCACAUCUAAGGAAGGCAGCAGGCGCGUAAAUACCCAAUUCUAAAGAAGAGAGGUAGUGACAAGAAAUAACAAUACAAGGCCAAUCUGGCUUUGUAAUUGGAAUGAUGGGAAUUUAAAACCUUCCCAAAACUCAAUUGGAGGGCAAGUCUGGUGCCAGCAGCCGCGGUAAUUCCAGCUCCAAUAGCGUAUAUUAAAAUUGUUGCAGUUAAAACGCUCGUAGUUGAAUUUCAAAGAAUCGAUAUUUUAAGUAGCACUUUGUAGAUUAAUCCACAUAACUGAUACUACGUAUCGACUUUGUGCGCAUUUUUCUACUUAUGUGUUCUUUUAAUUAAAAUGAUUCUUUUUAAGAUCUUUCUUUUUUGCUUCGGCAUUUUAGGAGAUCUUGUUACUUUGAGUAAAUUAGAGUGUUCAAAGCAAACAGAUUAUAGCAUCUUUAUGCGUUUGAAUACUACAGCAUGGAAUAACAAAAUUGAACAAGUCAGAAUUUUGUUCUUUUUUCUUAUUUUGGCUUAGUUACGAUUAAUAGGAGUAGCUUGGGGGCAUUUGUAUUCAGAUGUCAGAGGUGAAAUUCUUAGAUUUUCUGGAGACAAACAACUGCGAAAGCAUUUGCCUAAAAUACUUCCAUUAAUCAAGAACGAAAGUUAAGGGAGUGAAGACGAUCAGAUACCGUCGUAAUCUUAACCAUAAACUAUGCCGACUAGGCUUUGGAUGAAAGAUUUUAAAAUAAGAGUUUUUUCUCUGAGGAGUUAAAACUCUUAGAUUGCUUCCUUCAGUGCCUUAUGAGAAAUCAAAGUCUUUGGGUUCUGGGGCGAGUAUUCGCGCAGCGAGAAAAGUUAAAAGAUUGACGGAAGGGCACCACCAGGCGUGGAGCUUGCGGCUUAAUUUGACUCAACACGGGAAAACUCACUAGUUUAAGACAAGAGUAGGAUUGACAGAUUAAUAGCUCUUUCUUGAUUUCUUGGAUGGUGAUGCAUGGCCGUUUUUAGUUCGUGAAUAUGAUUUGUCUGGUUAAUUCCGAUAACGAACGAGAUCUUAACCUGCUAAUUAGCGGCAAAUACGAUAUAUUCUUAUGUGGAAUUGAAUAUAGUUGAUUUGCUUAUUUUGAAGAAAAUAUUGGGAUACGUAAAUGUAUCCCUUUCCCUUUUCUACUUAAUUUGCUUAUCAUACUAUUUCUUUUUUGCGUAAGAAUGUAUUUGCUUGAUUGUAAAGCUUCUUAGAGGAACGAUGUGUGUCUAACACAAG
This 1596-nucleotide ribosomal RNA is filed under the name Plasmodium inui. RNAcentral's name for it is "SSU rRNA". It matches the Rfam family "Eukaryotic small subunit ribosomal RNA", at positions 61 to 1439 of the family's 1831-position model. Lineage: Eukaryota; Apicomplexa; Aconoidasida; Haemosporida; Plasmodiidae. The record is from RNAcentral.